RNAcentral lists this ribosomal RNA (371 nucleotides) under uncultured bacterium. RNAcentral's name for it is "bacterial SSU rRNA". It matches the Rfam family "Bacterial small subunit ribosomal RNA", at positions 29 to 426 of the family's 1533-position model. The record is from RNAcentral.
AGCGAACGCUGGCGGCAGGCCUAACACAUGCAAGUCGAGCGGGCACCGCAAGGUGUCAGCGGCAGACGGGAGAGUAACACGUGGGAACGCGCCCUUCGGUUCGGAAUAACUCAGGGAAACUUGAGCUAAUACCGGAUACGCCCUUACGGGGAAAGAUUUAUCGCCGAAGGAACGGCCCGCGUCUGAUUAGCUAGUUGGUGAGGUAAUGGCUCACCAAGGCUACGAUCAGUAGCGGUCUAAGAGGAUGAUCAGCCUCACUGGGACUGAGACACGGCCCAGACUCCUACGGGAGGCAGCAGUGGGGAAUAUUGGACAAUGGGCGCAAGCCUGAUCCAGCCAUGCCGCGUGGAUGAUGAAGGCCCUAGGGUUGU